Molecule: ribosomal RNA, 53 nt
Filed under: uncultured Tomentella
Lineage: Eukaryota; Fungi; Basidiomycota; Agaricomycetes; Thelephorales; Thelephoraceae
Description: partial 28S ribosomal RNA
Source: RNAcentral
UAGACGUCUCUCCUCAGUGAGGACAGCCCUUUUGAAUGUUUGAUCUCAAAUCA